CAUAAAUCCUUUAUUAGUCCCACAGCGUGGACAUUUAUCUCGUCACAACAAAAGAACAUAUGAACUAAAAAGGCAGUACACAAUAAUUAAAUAGAAUAAAAGAUAAUAUAAGUACCAAGUGGUAUAAAUAAAGUGAGUAUUGCACAGCAGUGGUGGAACAGUGUGUUCUUGGUGUGGGGGUCUACCUCUCUAUCUCGCCAUGUUUGUUUGUUCCGCUCUGCAGAGAGCUGCUUGUUGGGACAAACUCCGCCGAAGAGCGUUAACUUUAUCCAAAGUUUGAAAUAUUGCCGUCUAGUUCAUUUUUCUAGUGGAUUUGUUUUGCGUGGCGUUUCAUGAAUUACCUCGAGGGCCGGAUCAAAUGGCCGGAGGUUCCCCACCCCUGUUUUAGACCAUGUAAGGAAGGAGUUUGAAUCAGCGGGCAGGGCUUCAUUUCCUUCUUUCUGUUUCAUCUACUCACAACUUACAAUGGAGGCUGAACGGAGAGUGGAAACAGUUGUGAGAGAUGCCGAGCCUUUCAGAACGAAUGCUUUCCUGAUUAUCGAUCAAAUGCUGGAGCUGUUUGACCCCGGGAGAGAUCUUCAUACACUGUUAGUGGAUGAGAUUCUUCACAGCAUCUUCUUUUUGGGAAAUAUCCACGUUCCACCAUUUUCACCACAAAGAAUUCUUGGUGAAGAAAUGUUUAAUGGAUUGAGGGAAACCUUCCCUCGGCCUUUUAAACUCUAUUCCUCUCAAGUGCCGAAGCGGAGUCCAUUCUCAUGUCUGCUGGACAUGAUUGUCGACCUGAAGGGACAAGAGAAUGAACAAGAAAUAAUAGCGAUGCUUCAAAACUUCAUCUCUAAAAUACAGCAGGGACGUAAUUCAAAGCCUCUGGUCUCCUCCACCAUCUGUGUCUCUCAGAGCACCGAUAUCAGGUACUACGGGGUCUCCAUGUCCACUUCUGGCCGUAUUCCUGGAAAAAUCAUGGUUUCUGCGUCCUGUUUUAGCAGCUGGGACGAAUAUGUAGCUGGUGCAGUGAUCACCUACCAUCCAGCGAAGGACAAGAAGACAUAUUUUGAUGGAACCAUCAUACUUCCAGAGACAGUCAGGUGCCAGGCGUUUAGCCUCCUCAGGGGAGGAAGCAUUAUGCCUCCUUGCAGAUCAUGUGAGAAUUUGUUUGGUUUGACAACAGAUGAUACACAGGAGUGGGGCUAUGGCAACUGUGCUGAAGCUGAAAGUGUGAGCAACUUGUUUAAAAAAGUUCAAGAAGUAAGAGAGGAAGCACGACCAACAUCAACGACGUGCACACCUGAGAACAGGAUGAAGGCUGAGGAAGCAGUCAAGAGAGAUCUCAAGAAUUUGCUGAAAGAGAAGAAAUUUAAUUGGGAUAAUAAUUUCUACACCCCAGAGAGAGUCUAAUCCUAAAAAGGGAAAUGAUUGAAUAUUAAAUAUUGAUAGGUGCAAUUCUUUUGGUCCUUAAUUGUAGAGUGACCAGAUAGAUCUCUUUUGAUAUUUUUCUUUAUCAGUCACACCUUCAUAUAAACUUCACUGUAACACUCUGGGCUGUGACAUUCCUACUUUUUAGUUGUACGUGGAGUUCAUGUGAUCAGAGCUGUCAAUAUAUCAGGCUUCAUCUUAGCUCCUUGUGAUGUGUAACAAUGAAGAUAUUAAUGCAUUCAUGGAAAAUAUUAUUAAGCCAAAUGUGUGUCAACUGAUUGAAUGAAGCAUGCAGAGGUUGAUGUGUUCGUGUAAUUUUUUGUAUUGAUUGUAUCUGCAGCAACCUCAUCUAAAGAGUUACCUGUCAGUUGUAGAUUGUAAGAUUUCACAGAUCACUUUUAAAGUCAAGACCCCUCUGGACCCCCCCUGCCUGAGGCCCUGAGGUUUGCAGAAUCAGUGACAUCUUUUAAAUCAGUUCUCAAAACGUAUCUUAAAAAAAAAAGAAGCCUUAUUAUCGAUUUUAGCACACUGUUUUAUUUGCCUGAUUUUAUUUCCCUAUGUCCUGUAAUGUUUUUAAUCUUGAAAUGUGUUUAAUCCUGGUUCAACCAUGUAAAGCACUUUGUAACUUUGUUUUGAAAAGCGCUUUAUAAAUAAAGGUUAUUAUUAUCAUUACUAUAAAUGAGUGUUUCUUUACCAGUGUAUACAACUUGACAUAUAUGAUGUGAAGCUUGAGUAUCUUAAACAGAAGAAGGCUGACAACAUGUUUACAUUUAAUUGCACAUCUUUAACAAUAAGACCAACAACAAACCACAGCUAACUUUAAGGACGUCAGAGGCAGC
Molecule: long non-coding RNA, 2252 nt
Filed under: Cottoperca gobio
Lineage: Eukaryota; Metazoa; Chordata; Actinopteri; Perciformes; Bovichtidae
Description: lncRNA (ENSCGOG00000002680.1)
Source: RNAcentral